GAACCAUGAAUUUGUCCGAAGUAUCUUCACCAAUGGCUACUACUGCAAAUACAAACAUUCCAUGGUUCGAUGUUUCAUUCAAAGGAGCUCCUUCAAUGGUAAGUCCUUCUGGUUCUGGUGAAUAUUUCAAUGGUGGUGGUGAUGAUGAGAAAAACAAUGGAAACGGUGUCGUUUUGGAUCAUGAUCUUGACCUCGGGUGGGUUAAUGAGCUCUUGAUGUAGAGGAAGAAGAUAUAUAUAUAUGAUCUGCAAAGUGUAUAUAUUUUAUGUGUGAUUGGGUUUAAAAAGAUUGCUGAUCUGAUGAUUGUUUUUAAAUAUUUUCAUAUUGCAAACCAAGUUAAUUUCAAUUUGUAAGGCUUUUUUUUCUUGAAGAGAUCUAAUAUGAUCUUCUUUUUAUUUAUGUACUUUUUGAACUUAUGAAAUAUUGAUGAAGUCAAAACUUCUGUUCUCUUCUCCUUAUGCAUGCAUGUAUGUAUGUUGUUUGAAUUGCAUGUGAUGUAUGUGAUUGACCUAAUAAAAAUUAACGUGAUAUUGGGUACAGCUUAAAGGAGUUGGAAGAAAUAUGGGGUGAUCACACAUUAAUUACGUGGCAAACAUGCAAGCAUCGUGUCCGAUAAUACGUGUACAAAUACUACGUGUCCAUAUUAGGAGGAUAUUUGUCAAUAAAAAUUCACAUAUUUCAUCUAUUAUUUAUCUUUCAUAUUUUAUCGAAAAUGAUUUUUGCAAAAUGUGAUCUUUAUUAUAGUAUUAACGACAACAUUUUAGGGAGAGCAAAAUUUAAUUAUUAAUUAAAUAAAACAAUGAAAUUUAUUGAUUUUGAAUGAUUUUUUAUAAUAAUAUGGAAGUAUAAAAUUUAAAAGUAAUCAAAUGCAUAAAUUGAGCAAACGUAUCAUAAUUAUAUGGUUCCUACAAUAAUGUCCAAAUGUAUAACUGGAACUACACGAAAAUUGUCCAUAAACUUGAAACACCAAUGUGUGUCCAAGUGCAUAAUGUUCUUUAGGUAAGACUUUGAAGUCCAAUUUUCCUGUACUUCUUAUUUUCAGUCAAGAAAGUUUUGGUGUUGGUCUCAUGCUAGAUAAUCAAAGACCUUACACAUAAAGACUUCAUCAAAUCCCUCCCAUUCCAUUGAUAUUACUUCUUUAAUAAAUGCUUGGUGUGUUUUAUUCUCGUUAAAAUGGGCCUGAUCUCAAAAGUUUGUGAGGAUUUAAACAAAAAUAUAAAUUUGGGGAUUUAAAUAAAAAUAUAAACUUGGGUUAGAAAAAUUAAGGCCCGUGGGCCUUCAAUAAUAUUUUAUUGGCUUGGUUUGAUCGUAAUAUUUUAUUGGCUUAGUUUGAAAAUUCUAUAAUUUUUAUUUAUUGUUAAUUUUAUUACUAUUUUAGAGUUAUUUACUUAUUGCACGUGUUUUAGUUUUAUUUAAUAUAAAGAGUUUUUCUAAAUUUUUCUUCAAUUUAUUAAAGAAUAUUUAUUUACAUAAAAUAAAAAAAAAUUAAAUAUAGGCCAAGCCUAAAUUUUAUAUCCAUAGACGAAUUUAAACAAAAAUUUAAACCCAUCAUAAUAUUUUUUUCACUAACUUCAACAGUUGUACUUUUAUUUCUAGAAAUUAGUCCCUCUAUUUUUCAUAUUGAAUUUUCCAUCAAAUAAAUAUGAAUUUUAAAGCCAAUCAUAGAUAUUAUAUAUUGUGUAUUACAAAAUAUUUAAAAUAUAUUUAAAACAUAAAUUCCAAAAGGAAAAUCUUUAAAAAAAAUUUAACUAAUUUAAUUAUCCAUUAUGAAAAAGCUAAACUUGAAAAAUGUAUAUAAGGCAUGAUCCAAAAUUCACAAGUACAUAGACAAAAUAAUCAUUUUAAAAAGGUUAAAUUUUGCUAUUGGAUCCUGUAUUUUGUGUAAAUUGUGAAUUUAGUACAUAUACUUUAAUUUGAUCAAUUUUAGCCCUUAUACUUUUCGAAUUUUAAAAUUUUAAUCCUAACCCAAUAGUAACGGUUAAAUUUGUUUGGUUAAAUUAUGCCAUUAGUCCUAUAUUAUGCGUGACACUAUAGAUUUAGUUCACAUUUACCAAUUGGAUCAUUCUUAGUGACUAUAUUCUUUGAAUUUCAAAACUUAAGUCUUAAUGCAAAUGACAAUCGUUAAAAUCUAUAAACUGACUUCUGUGAGUAAUAUGUGAAAAUAACAAAUAAACAUAGCAUUACACAUGUGAUAAUAUGUUUGACACAUCAAAUUUUAAAAAUAACAUAACUUAACUUAAUGAAUUUAAUAGUUAUCAUUUGGUUAGAACUAAAGUUUUGAAAUUCUAAAAGUAUAGGGACUGAAAAUAACAAAAUUAACAUACAAGUACUAAAUCCACAAUUUACGUAAAGUACAAAUUCAAAAGGUAAUUUUUGUUUAUACCUUAAAGUACAUUAAAGAACAUUUGCUUUUUUUAUUAUCUUUAAUUUUUAUAUUUAAAUGGAUUUUUAUAAAUUUUAUAUAAAAUAUAAAAACAAAAAAAAGUAUUAUUUAGCGAAAGGAAUAAAGUUUUUAGUCAUUUCUUAAUUAAAUUGAUAGGUAAUUGAUUCUCACACCAUGAUAACUGCGAUGAUAAUAAUCAAAUCUAAGUAUUCCAGAACUCAACACUUGGUAAUAAUUAUGCUACGUUUGGUGGAGUAUAUAUUUUACUUUUCCACUUGUUGUAGUUAUGAAUUAGCAAUAAACUGAUUACGAUUCGUAAUUUUUAGCUACGCACUUUACUUGUUUAAUUUUUGGUUCAAUUAGGCACUUGUAUCCGACAAAAGUUGCUUAAUUUGAUAUUAAAAAUAACAGUGUUAACUUUUCAAUGUUUAAACCGAAUUUUAGAGUUGAUUUAAUGAAAGUUAAUUGCUAAUAUUAUUAUGUUUGAAACUUUUUUUUCCAUGAUUUUGUUAAAAGAAUAAUUUUAAUGUCAAUUGUGAAUAUGUUUAAGUUUGCAUUUAAUUUGUCAAAGACAUUCCAGUAAUUGUGAUUUAAUUCGGGUUUCAGAAUAGAUUAGCUAAGACUAUUACAUUCAAGUAUAAAAAUGUAUAACUUUUGUCAAAUGCAUAUACCACACUAGACUAAAAAAAUAACAUAAAUAUCACAUUAAGUAUUUAUAUAUUAAUCCCAUUAUAGGUUCUUAUCAUAUUUGUUCAUUUUGAUAUAAUACCUGAAAUUAUUCAUAGCCACUCCCCAAACUUUAAAUGAAAGUAUAAUACAUUUCAACACACUUGAACUUACAUCCUCCUACACUGAUAACAAUACCGAUAUAUACCGAUUGAGCUAAGACUCAAUCGAUUUUAAAUGUAAACUUCGAUUAUAUUAAAAAAUAUUAUUAAUUUAUUAAUAUAAAAGAAUAGAUGCAAUUGACAUUUGACAAAGUAUAAAGAAGCCACAUGGAGGAAGACUUGGAUCCCAAAACUCCAAAGGGCAUGACAAUGUCAGGCCUCAUACCCCCUAAAAAGGGCAAAAAUCCAAAUCUAUUCUACUACACAGGGUUUUCAGUAACCAGCCAACACAUAGCAUCUCUUUGCUUUGCUGUGCUUUCUGAUGCUGCCACGAUUCCCUUUUUACAUGCUUAUCCCUAAUUAUGUUUCGCCACGCCUCCCCUCACCCCCAUACCCUUAAUUUCUUCUCUUCUGCAUCCUCAUUCUUAUUAUAAUCACAUUCAAUUCCAAUUAUUUAUUAUUUGAAAAACAUUAAACUUAUUACCAAAUUGAUUAUUAAUACUUUAAUAAUUUAUUUAUCGAAUUUAUUAAUAUAAUUAUACUUAUUAUACAUCUAAAAUUUUAAAUCUUGUUCGAUAUUUCUAUCAUUUUGAGGUAUAACAUUAUCUUAAUUAAUAUAUAUUCAACAUGGUAAUUUUUUUGACUUAAAAUAAAUAGUUAGUCAAAACCCUAAUAUAAUUACUAGAUAUACUGAAAAUUUUCAUAUUAAUUUAAUGGAAGCCGAAUAUAAUUAUCGAAAACCUAAUAUAAUUACAGGAUAUUAAUAUUCCACACCCCCAUGGCCCUUAUAUAUACCCAAGUCCCCCAUCCCAAUCUAUUUGUCCCCUUAUCACUCAACACUUUAUUCUUCUCUCUCCAUUAAUCUUCGUUGAAAGAAAAUCAUCUUUGCUUUCACCCAUGACCACUGUUUAUGACCCUUCACACCAUCUCACCUCCAAAAAAUUGUGUUUCAAGGACCUUGAAAUCCCUCCAAGGAAAAAGCAACUCCAUUGUUGCCACAACGCCGCCGCCAUGGAACUUCCCCACCACGAAGCUAGGCUCCACAAAUACCUUCCUUCCAAUGAAGACGAUGACGGCACCGAUGAUCCAUACGGCACCGACCAUUUCCGUAUGUACGAGUUCAAAGUAAGAAGAUGUACAAGGAGCCGUAGUCAUGACUGGACUGACUGUCCCUUCGCUCAUCCCGGUGAAAAAGCCCGCCGUCGUGACCCUAUUCGGUACCAAUACUCCUCCACCAUCUGUUCUGACCACCGCCGUGGCGGUGGUUGCCCUCGCGGCGAUGACUGUGAGUUCGCUCAUGGAGUGUUUGAGUGUUGGCUACACCCUACACGUUACAGAACCGAAGCUUGUAAAGAUGGUAAGAAUUGCAAGCGUAAGGUUUGUUUCUUUGCUCACUCGUCACGUGAGCUUCGUCUCUUGCCGGAAUCACCACCGCCAUUGAAGUAUAAAAACCUUGACAACAACUAUAACCAUUGCUGCUUGUUUUGUCGGUCGGUUACAUCGUCGUCGUCGUUGUCCCCGACAAGCACUCUCUUGGGUUUAUCUCAUUUCUCGAGAUCCCCAUCCCUGUCACCGCCUCUAUCUCCCUUAGGACACCAGCAAAGAACACCAAGGUACGGCGGUGAUCGUCUUAGUAAAUUUGGAACCGAAAUGACAAGCAGUUACGAUGAUGUUUUGUUGAAGGAAGUCAUGAGUUGUUUAGGAACCAUGAAUUUGUCCGAAGCAUCUUCACCAAUGGCUACUACUGCAAAUACGAACAUUCCAUGGCUUGAUGUUUCAUUCAAAGGAGCUCCUUCAAUGGAAAGUCCUUCUGGUUCUGGUGAAUAUUUCAAUGGUGGUGGUGAUGAUGAGAAAAACAAUGGAAACGGUUUCGUUUUGGAUCAUGAUCUUGACCUCGGGUGGGUUAAUGAGCUCUUGAUGUAGAGGAAGAAGAUCAUAUGAUAAAUAUAUAUGAUCUUCAAAGUGUAUAUAUUUUAUGUGUGAUUGGGUUUAAACAAGAUUGCUGAUCUGAUUAUUGUUAUUAAAUAUUUUAUUAUUGCAA
RNAcentral lists this long non-coding RNA (5251 nucleotides) under Gossypium barbadense (sea-island cotton). RNAcentral describes it as "long non-coding RNA (GBAR_LNC013124)". The record is from RNAcentral. Lineage: Eukaryota; Viridiplantae; Streptophyta; Magnoliopsida; Malvales; Malvaceae.